This 380-nucleotide ribosomal RNA is filed under the name uncultured eukaryote. Its description in RNAcentral is "partial 18S ribosomal RNA". It matches the Rfam family "Eukaryotic small subunit ribosomal RNA", at positions 592 to 976 of the family's 1831-position model. The record is from RNAcentral.
CAAUAGCGUAUAUUAAAGUUGUUGCGGUUAAAAAGCUCGUAGUUGGAUUUCUGUUGGGAACGACCGGUCCGCCCAUUGGGUGUGUAUCUGGCUUGUUCUCGGCAUCUUCUUGGUGAACGUUGCUGCACUUGACUGUGUGGAGCGCUACCCAGGACUUUUACUUUGAGGAAAUUAGAGUGUUUCAAGCAGGCAUAUGCCUUGAAUACAUUAGCAUGGAAUAAUAAGAUAGGACCUCGGUUCUAUUUUGUUGGUUUCUAGAGCUGAGGUAAUGAUUAAUAGGGACAGUUGGGGGUAUUCGUAUUCCAUUGUAAGAGGUGAAAUUCUUGGAUUUUUGGAAGACGAACUACUGCGAAAGCAUUUACCAAGGAUGUUUUCAUUAA